GCAUAUCAAUAAGCGGAGGAAAAGAAACCAACAGGGAUUGCCCCAGUAACGGCGAGUGAAGCGGCAACAGCUCAAAUUUGAAAUCUGGCCCCAGGCCCGAGUUGUAAUUUGCAGAGGAUGCUUUUGGCGCGGUGCCUUCCGAGUUCCCUGGAACGGGACGCCAUAGAGGGUGAGAGCCCCGUACGGUUGGACACCAAGCCUUUGUAAAGCUCCUUCGACGAGUCGAGUAGUUUGGGAAUGCUGCUCUAAAUGGGAGGUACAUUUCUUCUAAAGCUAAAUAUUGGCCAGAGACCGAUAGCGCACAAGUAGAGUGAUCGAAAGAUGAAAAGCACUUUGAAAAGAGGGUUAAACAGCACGUGAAAUUGUUAAAAGGGAAGCGCUUGUGACCAGACUUGCGUCCGGUGAAUCACCCAGCUCUCGCGGCUGGGGCACUUCGCCGGCACAGGCCAGCAUCAGCUUGCCGUCGGGGACAAAAGCUUCAGGAACGUGGCUCCUCUCGGGGAGUGUUAUAGCCUGUUGCAUAAUACCCUUCGGCGGGCUGAGGUACGCGCUCCGCAAGGAUGCUGGCGUAAUGGUCAUCAGCGACCCGUCUUGAAACACGGACCAAGGAGUCAACCUUAUGUGCGAGUGUUUGGGUGUCAAACCCCUACGCGUAAUGAAAGUGAACGCAGGUGAGAGCUUCGGCGCAUCAUCGACCGAUCCUGAUGUUCUCGGAUGGAUUUGAGUAAGAGCAUAUAGGGUUGGACCCGAAAGAAGGUGAACUAUGCGUGUGUAGGGUGAAGCCAGAGGAAACUCUGGUGGAGGCUCGCAGCGGUUCUGACGUGCAAAUCGAUCGUCAAACAUGCGCAUGGGGGCGAAAGACUAAUCGAACCUUCUAGUAGCUGGUUUCCGCCGAAGUU
RNAcentral lists this ribosomal RNA (899 nucleotides) under Colletotrichum nymphaeae. Its description in RNAcentral is "LSU rRNA". It matches the Rfam family "Eukaryotic large subunit ribosomal RNA", at positions 38 to 968 of the family's 3401-position model. The record is from RNAcentral. Lineage: Eukaryota; Fungi; Ascomycota; Sordariomycetes; Glomerellales; Glomerellaceae.